RNAcentral lists this ribosomal RNA (465 nucleotides) under uncultured Klebsiella sp. RNAcentral describes it as "bacterial SSU rRNA". It matches the Rfam family "Bacterial small subunit ribosomal RNA", at positions 338 to 795 of the family's 1533-position model. The record is from RNAcentral. Lineage: Bacteria; Pseudomonadati; Pseudomonadota; Gammaproteobacteria; Enterobacterales; Enterobacteriaceae.
CCUACGGGAGGCAGCAGUGGGGAAUAUUGCACAAUGGGCGCGAGCCUGAUGCAGCCAUGCCGCGUGUGUGAAGAAGGCCUUCGGGUUGUAAAGCACUUUCAGCGGGGAGGAAGGCGUUAAGGUUAAUAACCUUGGCGAUUGACGUUACCCGCAGAAGAAGCACCGGCUAACUCCGUGCCAGCAGCCGCGGUAAUACGGAGGGUGCAAGCGUUAAUCGGAAUUACUGGGCGUAAAGCGCACGCAGGCGGUCUGUCAAGUCGGAUAUGAAAUCCCCGGGCUCAACCUGGGAACUGCAUUCGAAACUGGCAGGCUAGAGUCUUGUAGAGGGGGGUAGAAUUCCAGGUGUAGCGGUGAAAUGCGUAGAGAUCUGGAGGAAUACCGGUGGCGAAGGCGGCCCCCUGGACAAAGACUGACGCUCAGGUGCGAAAGCGUGGGGAGCAAACAGGAUUAGAUACCCCAGUAGUC